RNAcentral lists this long non-coding RNA (1151 nucleotides) under Pogona vitticeps (central bearded dragon). RNAcentral describes it as "lncRNA (ENSPVIG00000023276.1)". Lineage: Eukaryota; Metazoa; Chordata; Lepidosauria; Squamata; Agamidae. The record is from RNAcentral.
CACUUAAUCCACUUCAGCUAUUUACCCACCUCAUUUGUCUUCUAGUAUAUUAUUGGAUCGCUGCCAUGGAGACAACUAACAGCCCUCAAGGCCUCUUCUUCCAAAAUAACUAGUAAGACAGAACUGGGGGUGGGGGGGGGGGGGGAGGGGGGUNNNNNNUGGACUGGAGAGAGGGAGUGAUAAGGAGGCAGAGCCACUGAAAUCUGAAGCAAAGCAGCAAAGGCAAGAGCCAAAGAAGAGUAUAGCUACACCAUGCCUUCUGAAGGAAUAUCCUCUCUAUCAAAUCAUGGGGCCAACGAAACAAAGCACCUGAAGCCCUGCUAUCAAGCAUUGCAAUGUUUCUUUUUAUACUGUGGCACUGAUAAGCCCAUCAGAAUGCUAGAAAUGUGACUGCAUUUUGGAUGCACAAUAUCAUAUCUCAGAAAAACAAAGCCCUUUGAGAAGUGCUCCACUUUCUUGCUUCUACAUCAGUCAGGAACUAAAGCUUUUUUCUGUGGAUGUGUCUUCAGGUUUCAUUCAAAAGGCCUAAGAAACAACCCCUUCUGCAAAAUACAGAGUUUGAUGUAUUUUUUUCUUCCAUGUAUCUUUCCUGGAAAACAGAUGACACAUCGGAUUCUAAGCAUCACUGACAUGAACAACAGCUGAAUGAGAAGAAUGCUGAUGAUGCAGAACAGCUUAACUAAAGACUGCCAGUGCAGUUAAGAAAUGCGCCCUUUGAAAUACCGGGUCUGAAAACUGCACACCCCCUGAAAUUGUUGAGGAACCUUUGCCAAAGAGUAUCUUACGUGCAACUCUUUGAAUACUGUAGAAUCUUCUUUAUAUGUCAUUAGAUUCCAUUCUCUGAUAACUAUUCAGCCAUGUGACAAUUACACUUUAAAAAUGCUCCCACUGAUUCUACUGGGAAGAUUUUUUUCAAACUUAAUGGUCAAAAAGGCAGAGAGCUGGGCAUCUUGUAGUCAUUCCCAAAUGUCAUCACCUUAAUCUAUUCAUUUCUAUGGUGCUUUCCUGCCCAUCCUAUCCACAACAUCAUUGCUCACAACAUAUAAUUCGCAGCGAGUAACUAUUAAAAACAGUACAAAGGAUAAUUAUAUCAGUUGAUAUAUAUGUAGUAAAAGAGCAAGCAAUAAAAUACUGAAUAAAGUUAAAAAACA